Molecule: long non-coding RNA, 494 nt
Filed under: Mus caroli (Ryukyu mouse)
Lineage: Eukaryota; Metazoa; Chordata; Mammalia; Rodentia; Muridae
Description: lncRNA (MGP_CAROLIEiJ_G0003619.1)
Source: RNAcentral
GCUGAAAUAGGGACGCCAGUGGCGUCGGUGACACUAUUUGCCCAUCUUUCUAAGGAGGCGGAACUGGACAGAGCUCCUGGACCAGGCAAAAAGGAACAAAGUUUUUGCGCUUCAUCCCAAGAACAUGAAAAGCUAAAGAGCAGAGACCUUCAUCACUACUACCCUCUGCAGUGUGAAUCCUCUGCAUGGUCACAAGGACAUGGGCACCAGCACUUGCAGCAGCCUCCCCCUCAUAGUAUCCAGGAUAUUCUCAGUUCUGCCUCCCCAGCUUCCUGGAUGCUUCACAUUUUACAUGGAUCUCAACCAGGAGCAACCACAAAACAGCCAGCCCUUUCUGGUAUCUUGACACUGGAUCGCGGGCUGCAGAAGUGAGGCCCUGGUAUGAAGCUGGCAGGGAACAUGGAGGGACAGAAGCCUGAAUGAUCAAUGUACAGAUGCUGCAGACCUGCUUCCCCUCCUCCCCAGACAUAACAAACCCUGUACAUCCAACCUUU